UACGAAGGGGGCUAGCGUUGUUCGGAAUUACUGGGCGUAAAGCGCGCGCAGGCGGUCUUCCAAGUCAGUGGUGAAAGCCCGGAGCUCAACUCCGGAAUUGCCAUUGAAACUGUAAGACUUGAGGAUGAGAGAGGUGAGUGGAAUUCCCAGUGUAGAGGUGAAAUUCGUAGAUAUUGGGAAGAACACCGGUGGCGAAGGCGGCUCACUGGCUCAUUUCUGACGCUCAGGCGCGACAGCGUGGGGAUCAAAC
This 250-nucleotide ribosomal RNA is filed under the name uncultured bacterium. Its description in RNAcentral is "partial 16S ribosomal RNA". It matches the Rfam family "Bacterial small subunit ribosomal RNA", at positions 524 to 773 of the family's 1533-position model. The record is from RNAcentral.